This 473-nucleotide ribosomal RNA is filed under the name uncultured bacterium. RNAcentral describes it as "bacterial SSU rRNA". It matches the Rfam family "Bacterial small subunit ribosomal RNA", at positions 36 to 541 of the family's 1533-position model. The record is from RNAcentral.
CUGGCGGCGUGUCUAACACAUGCAAGUCGAACGAGAAAGUGGAGCAAUCCAUGAGUAAAGUGGCGACCGGGUGAGUAACACGUGACUAACCUACCUCCGAGUGGGGAAUAACUCCGGGAAACCGGGGCUAAUACCGCAUAACAUCGCAAGAUCAAAGCAGCAAUGCGCUUGGAGAGGGGGUCGCGGCUGAUUAGCUCGUUGGCGGGGUAACGGCCCACCAAGGCGAAGAUCGGUAUCCGGCCUGAGAGGGCGCACGGACACACUGGAACUGAAACACGGUCCAGACUCCUACGGGAGGCAGCAGUGGGGAAUUUUGCGCAAUGGGGGAAACCCUGACGCAGCAACGCCGCGUGGAGGAUGAAGCCCUUUGGGGCGUAAACUCCUUUCGACUCGGACGAUAAUGACGGUACGAGUGGAAGAAGCACCGGCUAACUCUGUGCCAGCAGCCGCGGUAAUACAGAGGGUGCGAGCGU